AUGCUGACAGAGGAGCAGAAGACUAUGCAAGCGGCGGUGCUGCGCGAGGCGGUCAAGUUCGAGGUCGCGAGUUGCUGCGUCCACGGAUGUCCGUCGCUGCAUCUUCAUUCUCCUCACCUCCCCCGUCGACUGCAUCUUCAACCUCCAUCCGCCGCCGCCGUCCAUGGGAUGGUUAAUGGAAGGAGAAGCUUGUGGUGUGGCUCUGAAACUCCACCAUAUAACGUAAUCAACCUUCGAUCAAUCAGGCCACUGUAUAGAGCUGCCAUAAAAGCAUAUGUUAGGAAAACAAAUAGAUUGGUGGUUCUAGAAGAAGGCUCCCCCCAGCAUCGUGUUGAUUCUAUGCCUGCAUAUUGUUUACUUUAUCCUCGCUGCAGCGACCUUGCAUAUGGUCAUUGGGUGCUGAUCGCCUCCAUGUCUUUGGUACAUUAUGAAGAAGAAGAUUGCUGGUCGAAAAGGCCAUUUAUUUUAUUGAAGAAAUUGGCAAGGAUGUAUUUUCAGUACAUUAGGAUUUUUGGUAGUCUCAUGGUUCUGCUAGGAAGAUACCGUCGCUACCAGGUCAACAAUCCCCCCUUCAAUAAUAUUUGA
Molecule: ribosomal RNA, 585 nt
Filed under: Triticum aestivum (bread wheat)
Lineage: Eukaryota; Viridiplantae; Streptophyta; Magnoliopsida; Poales; Poaceae
Description: partial small subunit ribosomal RNA
Source: RNAcentral